This 142-nucleotide small RNA is filed under the name Marmota monax (woodchuck). Lineage: Eukaryota; Metazoa; Chordata; Mammalia; Rodentia; Sciuridae. The record is from RNAcentral.
UGGAGAAGUUGGAAAUUAGAGACCCGGGAGGACAUUUUUGACACUCAUUUAUUUUUCUAAAAAGGAAUCCAAGGGUUGGUGGUGUGGAUGUGUGUGUGUGUGUGUGUGUGUGUGUGAGUGUGUAGAGAUGGGUCCUAUCCAA